UACGGAGGGUGCAAGCAUUAAUCGGAUUUAUUGGGCGUAAAGGGCGCGUAGGCGGGGAUAUAAGUCAGACGUGAAAUCCCGGGGCUCAACCUCGGAACUGCAUUUGAAACUAUAUCUCUCGAGGGUAGAAGGAGAAAACGGAAUUCCACAAGUAGCGGUGAAAUGCGUAGAUAUGUGGAAGAACACCGGUGGCGAAGGCGGUUUUCUAUUUUAUUCCUGACGCUGAUGCGCGAAAGCAAGGGGAUCAAACAGG
This 253-nucleotide ribosomal RNA is filed under the name uncultured bacterium. Its description in RNAcentral is "partial 16S ribosomal RNA". It matches the Rfam family "Bacterial small subunit ribosomal RNA", at positions 524 to 776 of the family's 1533-position model. The record is from RNAcentral.